This 201-nucleotide long non-coding RNA is filed under the name Dermacentor andersoni. Its description in RNAcentral is "uncharacterized LOC126518076". The record is from RNAcentral. Lineage: Eukaryota; Metazoa; Arthropoda; Arachnida; Ixodida; Ixodidae.
AGUAGUAGUUGGAGUCGUUGGUCUGGGCGUCGGUCUUGGCGUAGGUCUUGGCGUAGGUCUUGGCGUCGGUUUUGGCGUAGGUCUCGGCGUAGGUGUCGGCGUAGGUGUCGGCGUAGGACUUGGUGUAGGACUUGGUGUAGGACUUGGCGUAGUGGGUGACGGCAAAGGUGGAGGAGGCAUGCCUGGGGGAGGGACAGCUGG